AUGAACGCUGGCGGCGUGCCUAAUACAUGCAAGUCGAGCGAACGGACGAGAAGCUUGCUUCUCUGAUGUUAGCGGCGGACGGGUGAGUAACACGUGGAUAACCUACCUAUAAGACUGGGAUAACUUCGGGAAACCGGAGCUAAUACCGGAUGAUAUUUUGAACCGCAUGGUUCAAAAGAGAAAGACGGUCUUGCUGUCACUUAUAGAUGGAUCCGCGCUGCAUUAGCUAGUUGGUAAGGUAACGGCUUACCAAGGCAACGAUGCAUAGCCGACCUGAGAGGGUGAUCGGCCACACUGGAACUGAGACACGGUCCAGACUCCUACGGGAGGCAGCAGUAGGGAAUCUUCCGCAAUGGGCGAAAGCCUGACGGAGCAACGCCGCGUGAGUGAUGAAGGUCUUCGGAUCGUAAAACUCUGUUAUUAGGGAAGAACAUAUGUGUAAGUAACUGUGCACAUCUUGACGGUACCUAAUCAGAAAGCCACGGCUAACUACGUG
Molecule: ribosomal RNA, 496 nt
Filed under: uncultured bacterium
Lineage: Bacteria
Description: partial 16S ribosomal RNA
Rfam family: Bacterial small subunit ribosomal RNA
Source: RNAcentral